GUGCUGAGAUUACAGGCAUGCACCAUCACACCAGUUUGUGGAAUGUUUCUUAAAUUUAGACUGUGGCCUCAAGUCUGAAACAGAUGCAGAAGGCUAAACUCCACUCUUGGGUCUAGAGAAGAGGCACUAAGAUUGGCAUGGGAGCUAGGAGCUGCACCAUCCCAGAACAGGAAAAGGCAUCGGAGGUUUCUCCAUCUGACAGGAACCAUGACUCCAAAAGCACACUUUGACAGAAUCUGCAGUGACCAAUGACCUAACACUAAGCCCCACCGAGGACCAAGCUUCUAAAACCCGAAUCUUUAAGAGGAUAUAUGCAACACAUUUGCAAACCAGAGUGUCCUUCCCACCUCAGGCUUUUAUUUUUCUGUCCUCUUCCAGCAAAGCCACCAGAGAGUCCCUUCUUAGAGCCAGAAGCUAGCAGGGGCUGGGACAGACUCUCUGGGGGGUGAGAAUCCCCCUUCUUGUCAAUAGUGUGUGCCUUUUCCUGUCAGCAGACACAGCAUGGUGCCCCAGGAAGAGGAGCACCAAGGCUGGUGGGACCAGUGUCCUCCAAGAGACUUGGCUGCAUGCUUUGGGGAUCAGCUCUGGACCCAGAGAUCUCCAGCGCCCUCAUGGAGCACAGCUCAAUCCAGAGGCAGAAACCAAUGAGGCAGCUAUGUGGCGUCCACACCAUGCGGCCAACUUCCGGCUCUAUUGGCUUAUCUUGAAUCAAAAACUCCCCCAGCGAGAACGUUACUCUCUAGCCAGGACAGGGAAAGCUUUGUGUGUUAACAAUAGUCCUGGCAUUUGUGCUCAGGAUGACCUCAAAGACCUUUUGUUCUUCUGCUCUGGAUGCUUGGUGAUCAUUGUGUGAAGAGAACUCAAGGACAAAGGCUUGGACAGGACAGCCCUGACCGGUCACUCGGUGUGGAGGACACAUACCUUUCUCAAGGUGCCAGGACUUGGGCUAGUUACUGGGUCAUUUUGGCACCGACCCACUGGGCCCCUGGACGAUUUCCCUGCCACAUUCCCAUCUGCUCCUGUCUUGAAUAGAGACAGCACAUCUCCUGGGAGGACUGUGUGAAGUUCUCGCCUCAAGCACUUGCAAUGAUGAAGUCUGUGAUGCUCACGGAACAUUGUAGACUGUGGAAACAGGAGCCAUCACAGCUCAGCUGAGGCUUGGACCUGGCCUUGGACUAAGGAGAGGGGCUUAGUGCCCACUGGGCUCCGAAACAGGGUGGCAUGUGUGUGUAUGUGUGUGUGUGUGUGUGUGUGUGUGUGUGUGUGUGUAGUGGUGUACACCUGAAAUUCCAGCACUCUGGGGAGCUGCGGCAGGAGGACUGCAAGUUUGAGCCAGCCUGGGCAACUUAGUGAGACCCUGUCUCAAAGUAAGAAAUAAUGAAGAGUUGGGGAUGUAGCUCAGUGCAAACACCCCGGUUCAAUCCCUAGUACUGCCCAAACAAACAAACAAACACAAGAAAAAAGAAAAGUUAUUAGAGAUCAAGAGGGUAAAAUUGUGGUUUAAAAUAAAACGAAGCAAAAUAAAAUGAUUGAUCAGUAAGUCAAAGUACCAGACUAUCUGGGAGGGCAGGUUCUAAGCAAGGAGGCAGAAAACCUGGGCUGCACAUGGAGAGGAAAGUGGGGUGAAGCAAACAGAAUGUCCAUUCAGCAUGGAGCCUGCAGAAUGUUGCAGAGAACACAGCCCGGUGGAGCCAAGUGUCAUCUUUUUAUCCUAAUUUGUUGGUCUCUGUUGGCUGUCAGAAGUGCUCAGGGUAGAAGUGGCUAUGCCCAGUGUUCUCACAAUGGGUAGGUUGAUCACUCCACAGAAGGGGGCUCAUAGAGUGCAUUAAAAUGGCAGCAGCCCAGGCAUGGUGGCACAUGUCUAUAAUCCCAGCACUCUGGAAGCCGAGGAAGGAGGAUCUCAAGUUCAAAGGUAGCCUGGUUAACUUAGUGACUUAGCAAGACCCUGUGUCAAAAAAAGCAGGAGUGGCAUUGGAGAUGUAGCCCAAUGCAAAGGCCCAGGGUUCAAUCUCCAAUACUAAAAAAAAAAAGCAACAGGAUGCCAAAGAACCAUAGUGGACAGAGCAAAACCAUGGGCUUGCAUUUCUUCUACUCCAGUGUCUCUAAAAUAUCCUACUCAUUUAGUUGGAAGAGAUCUCAUGGCCAAAUCUCUCCCCACCUUCCCAGUCAUCUUUGAUUACCAACCCAGAAAUGCAACCCAAAAAUGACUGUCCUGAGAACACUGGCUGAAAAGUCUGAUAUGACCAAGAUGUAACCUGUGGGGCUGCAUGGAGAUUCUCUGCCCCCUGAUGUUAGGAUGACCCCUGGUUGGGGGCAUGGGAGCUUUGGAGUUCAAGAUCCCCUGAUGCCCUGGGAGAGCCACUCUACAGUUUCCAUCCUGCUUCCUCUAGAGUACUAUGGGUCUUCCUCGUACUCCUCAGUGCCUUGAAAACUCCCUACAAACCUCAGAUCUACAUGGUAGACUAGUGAGAACUCACUGGCCCAUUGCACAGGCUCAGAGCUAUGUGUGUGAGGGCCUCAACCCUGGAAAGUGUUUCCGAGCCUGUGUGAAGUGUGCAGCCUCCCAAGAGCUCCCCCGUCCCCUGCUCUGCUCUUCCCUCCCCCAACACUCACAGCCUCCCCUUGGGCAGGGGUGUCCUGUGCAGACAGCCCCAGGUUGUCACCCUGUCCCUGGCUGCUCUGUUAUCUCUUGAUCCUAAGGGUCAGCUGUCUCCUGGAUGUCACUACCCUAAGUCCUCUCAGGAUGGCCCCAUUUCUGUUGAGGGCUAAUCCGGGGCCAGGCAGCAGCCUUGAAGCCUCACUGACCUCGAAGAGCAUCAGCAUCCUCCCGAUUCCCCCUUGUCUCCACGUCCCCUCACUUAAGUGUCCUCUUCACUGUGCCUCUGCUGUCACCGUGUUGGGCCUGGUCAUAGAAGGCCUCCUUCAGCAUCUACCACAGUCUUCUGACACUUCACCUCCACCCUCCUCCACUUCCCUCCUCAAGGCUGUUUCUCCUCCGCAAGCCCAGUGGGCAAGCCCUCCCUGGCUUCCGCGGCUCCAAACCCACACAGCCACCCUUCCAACCUUCUCUUCUGCCAUGCUCCACUCCAAAGUCUCAAGACCACCAGACUGUCCCCAGCCACACUAUGGAUUUCUCUCUCACACCUAUGUUUCUGCAUUAAUAUCACUUGGAAAUGUCCCCCAUUUCUCAUAAUCUUCCUGUUCAGUGCCCCCUGGAGCAGAUUCCAGGCCACCCCAGCUGCAGCAUUUCUUGACUUGCCAACAAUUAUUCCUGCUCCCCUGAAAUCUGUCACUCACUGCCCAUGUGUCUUCCACUCUGCAUAUCACAAGGGGUGAUAUUUAAGGUACGAAAGAAGUGUCAGUUUCCUGGUGUUCCUAGUACCCACUACCAAGGCCUCCAUAUCAGCUCAUUUGGAAAUUCAAAAAAUGUUUCCCCUUCCUCAAAACACUACCUCCCAGGUCAUUGUUGGAAUCAAUAAGCACAUUUACGAAGUUCAAGAUGAAUGAUAGCCCUUGACACAGAUGGUGCCAACCUGCCUGGGCCCUGCCCUGAGGUCCCAGCAGCAGGACUGCUUCCCACCACUGUACACAUCAAGUUCAAGUUCUUGGAUUGCAGCUUUCAGGUAGACUUUGUCUCUUUCCAGCUGAAAACUAAAGCACUUUUGACUUGCAAAACCAGGCUGCCCUGAGAUAAAUUUCUUUGGUAAUUCCACAGGAUGGACUUGCACACGUGAGCCGGGCUUGACCCAUGGUUCAUAUUAUGAAAUCUAGCAGGUGGCAAGAGGAUGGGGAAUGGCAAGUGGUGACACAGAAUAGCUGUCUAUGUACCCCACCCCAAAAUUUGGAGGCACCAGUAAGCAGGAAGAAAGUAGUCCACAGAGAAUCAGGAAUGUUCUCCCAGGUUCCCCUCCAUGCCCUGCCUGGCUCCCAGUGAAAGCACCAAUGGGUGAAGCAACUGAAGCCUCAGAAACCCAGGUGGGUGAGGGAGGAACAGGGAGAAUGAAUUCUCAAAUACCACUGACUGUAUAAGAGGUGAUUGAAAAAUAAGGUGAGUGUUUAUAUUUUUAAAAAUUUAUUACAGUAAAGACACAUUGUCAUCAA
Molecule: non-coding RNA, 4101 nt
Organism: Heterocephalus glaber (naked mole-rat)
Lineage: Eukaryota; Metazoa; Chordata; Mammalia; Rodentia; Bathyergidae
Source: RefSeq, a predicted model, not a curated record